AAUAGAUACCCCGGUAGUCCACGCCGUAAACGAUGGAUACUAGCUGUUCGGGAUUACCUGAGUGGCUAAGCGAAAGUGAUAAGUAUCCCACCUGGGGAGUACGGGCGCAAGCCUGAAACUCAAAGGAAUUGACGGGGGCCCGCACAAGCGGUGGAGCAUGUGGUUUAAUUCGAUGAUACGCGAGGAACCUUACCAGGGCUUAAAUGUAGGUUGCAUGAUCCAGAGAUGGGUCUUUCUUCGGACCACCUACAAGGUGCUGCAUGGUUGUCGUCAGCUCGUGCCGUGAGGUGUCAGGUUAAGUCCUAUAACGAGCGCAACCCCUAUUGUUAGUUGCCAGCGAGUCAUGUCGGGAACUCUAGCAAGACUGCCGGUGCAAACCGUGAGGAAGGUGGGGAUGACGUCAAAUCAUCACGGCCCUUACGUCCUGGGCUACACACGUGCUACAAUGGGUGGGGACAGAGAGCAGCCACUGGGCGACCAGGAGCGAAUCUAUAAACCCCGAUCACAGUUCGGAUCGGAGUCUGCAACUCG
RNAcentral lists this ribosomal RNA (531 nucleotides) under uncultured bacterium. RNAcentral's name for it is "bacterial SSU rRNA". It matches the Rfam family "Bacterial small subunit ribosomal RNA", at positions 777 to 1314 of the family's 1533-position model. The record is from RNAcentral.